AUACUCUCAGCCUUCUAGGAUUGGUCCAGUCAAAGAAGGAACUCCACUCUCAACAUUCCCCCAACACAGAGAGACAUGAUACUUUGGUUGAUCCUCCUUCUUUUUGCAGCUCUCUCAGGCUGCCAGACAGAGGUUCAACUGGUGGAGACUGGAGGUGGUGUUGUGAGCCCCGGAGGCUCCCUCCGCCUCUCCUGCAAGGCUUCAGGAUUCACCUUCACUGACUAUCCGAUGCACUGGAUCCGGCAGGCUCCUGGAAAAGGACUUGAGUGGGUGGCUGGAAUUAGCAGCCCCAGUGGAAGCAGCCAGUGGUACAACCCCAAGGUUCAGGGGUGAUUCACCAUCUCCAGAGACAAUUCCCAGACUUCAGUCCAUCUACAAAUGGGCAGCUUGAAGCCUGAAGACUCUGCCUUGUAUUACUG
Non-coding RNA from Hemicordylus capensis (graceful crag lizard), 419 nucleotides. The record is from the annotation of a RefSeq genome assembly. NCBI's taxonomy places the organism in Eukaryota, Metazoa, Chordata, Lepidosauria, Squamata, Cordylidae.